This 253-nucleotide ribosomal RNA is filed under the name uncultured bacterium. Its description in RNAcentral is "partial 16S ribosomal RNA". It matches the Rfam family "Bacterial small subunit ribosomal RNA", at positions 524 to 776 of the family's 1533-position model. The record is from RNAcentral.
GACGUAGGGCGCAAGCGUUGUCCGGAUUUAUUGGGCGUAAAGAGCUCGUAGGCGGUCUGUCGCGUCUGCUGUGAAAACUCAGGGCUUAACCCUGAGCUUGCAGUGGGUACGGGCAGACUAGAGUGCGGUAGGGGAGACUGGAAUUCCUGGUGUAGCGGUGAAAUGCGCAGAUAUCAGGAGGAACACCGGUGGCGAAGGCGGGUCUCUGGGCCGUAACUGACGCUGAGGAGCGAAAGCAUGGGGAGCGAACAGG